This 553-nucleotide ribosomal RNA is filed under the name uncultured archaeon. RNAcentral's name for it is "bacterial SSU rRNA". It matches the Rfam family "Archaeal small subunit ribosomal RNA", at positions 325 to 879 of the family's 1478-position model. The record is from RNAcentral.
ACGGGGUGCAGCAGGCGAGAAAACUUUGCAAUGUGCGAAAGCACGACAAGGUUAAUCCGAGUGGUUUCUGCUAAAGGAACCUUUUGACAGUCCUAGAAACACUGUUGAAUAAGGGGUGGGCAAGUUCUGGUGUCAGCCGCCGCGGUAAAACCAGCACCUCAAGUGGUCAGGAUGAUUAUUGGGCCUAAAGCAUCCGUAGUCGGCCCAGUAAGUUUUCGGUUAAAUCUGUACGCUUAACGUACAGGCUGCCGGGAAUACUGCAGGGCUAGGGAGUGGGAGAGGUAGACGGUACUCGGGAGGAAGUGGUAAAAUGCUUUGAUCUUUCGAUGACCACCUGUGGCGAAGGCGGUCUACCAGAACACGUCCGACGGUGAGGGAUGAAAGCUGGGGGAGCAAACCGGAUUAGAUACCCGGGUAGUCCCAGCUGUAAACUAUGCAAACUCAGUGAUGCAUUGGCUUGUGGCCAAUGCAGUGUUGCAGGGAAGCCGUUAGGUUUGCCGCCUGGGAAGUACGUACGCAAGUAUGAAACUUAAAGGAAUUGGCGGGGGAGCAC